RNAcentral lists this transfer RNA (76 nucleotides) under Shewanella putrefaciens. RNAcentral describes it as "tRNA-Glu". Lineage: Bacteria; Pseudomonadati; Pseudomonadota; Gammaproteobacteria; Alteromonadales; Shewanellaceae. The record is from RNAcentral.
UCGGAAAAUAGAAUAGCAGCAUCAAGUUCAUAACGGCGCAAUGGCUGCAAAGUCACUUCACAAGCUAAUUCGUGGU